This 485-nucleotide ribosomal RNA is filed under the name uncultured bacterium. RNAcentral's name for it is "partial 16S ribosomal RNA". It matches the Rfam family "Bacterial small subunit ribosomal RNA", at positions 28 to 507 of the family's 1533-position model. The record is from RNAcentral.
AUUGAACGCUGGCGGCAUGCCUUACACAUGCAAGUCGAACGGCAGCGGGCCCUUCGGGGUGCCGGCGAGUGGCGAACGGGUGAGUAAUGCAUCGGAAAGUACCCGGGAGAGGGGGAUAACCGGCCGAAAGGCCGGCUAAUACCGCAUGAACUCGGAAGAGCAAAGCGGGGGACCUUCGGGCCUCUCGCUCUCGGGGCGGCCGAAGUCCGAUUAGGCUAGUUGGUGGGGUAAAGGCCCACCCAGGCGACGAUCGGUAGCGGGUCUGAGAGGACGAUCCGCCACACUGGGACUGAGACACGGCCCAGACUCCUACGGGAGGCAGCAGUGGGGAAUCUUGGACAAUGGGCGCAAGCCUGAUCCAGCAAUGCCGCGUGGGUGAAGAAGGCCUUCGGGUUGUAAAGCCCUUUCGGCGGGGAAGAAAUCGGUCAGGCGAAUAGUCUGGCCGGAUGACGGUACCCGCAGAAGAAGCACCGGCUAACUACGUG